This 505-nucleotide long non-coding RNA is filed under the name Homo sapiens (human). Its description in RNAcentral is "non-protein coding lnc-ANP32A-3:3". Lineage: Eukaryota; Metazoa; Chordata; Mammalia; Primates; Hominidae. The record is from RNAcentral.
UUGUCUCCUAGGCGACCGACGCUGAAAGGGCCGCGGAGUCGCGUGUCAGGGCUGGAGGGAGAUCUUGAGGUCCUCCCAGUGACUGACCUGGCUCAUUCUCCGAAAGUGGUUGACAGGCCACUACGAGAGCUCUUGAGAGAAGCUUUGUGACAUGAAAUUCAUCAAAUGAAGCAAGAUUCAUUUUUAAAGAAUAAUACAAAGCUCCAGAGUAAUAUGCUUAAUCCAAAUGUUUAAAUAGAAUUUAAAACCACAUUUUAAGUAAAUUUAAAAUUAAUGAAAUAUCAAUAGUUUGCCUUAACAAGGACUUGCUUGAACCAUAUUCUCCUUUUAAAAUCACACACACAGAAUCAGUGUACAUUUAGAGAAAUUUCCCCAGCUGAAUAACAUUUUUGACAUGAAUUCAUUCAAAAGACACCAACCAUUAUGAAUAUUUUAGGCCAUGAUAAGCUGUAACCACCUCCGGCUUAUGGUGGUUAGGAUGUUGCAGCUUAAUGUUGACAUCUGG